CAAAUGUAUAUGCCCAUACGUCAUACCGACUGCAAACAUUUCGCGUGUGAAAAAAUUGUUGACCCGACCGUUCGACGAGAAGAAAACGAAAUAAUUAACUCGGAACGCUGCGUUCUUCUCGUCAUGUAACUAAAAUAGACGGAGAGUUUGCGUAAUCGCAAUGGGGUUGGAAGCUGCGCGUAUUAAGCCGCGGGACAAGAUCGUGAAAAACAUGGAACGCCGGUGAAUGUAAAUUCUCGGCAAACAAAGGUUGAGACGGUGCAUGAAAAAUAAACACAGUUUAUCUGCGGACUCGUUCGAGGAAGUUGUUGAACGCGCAUUAACGUCGUUGUAAAAGUUGUUAAUCGGGAGAGCUUUGACGCAUCUUGAUAAAUGUUCUAAUACCGAUGUGAAGUGAGCUAAGCCGGCCGUUUAUCGCCGCGUCUCCUUGGGUAUUGAACUUUUUACUUCUAAACUAAUCUUUCUGACGAACCGGUUCAAUCGAGGGAUCAUCUUAUCUCUGCAAUAACACUCAUGAUUCUUACGAUCUAUUGUCGGUGGAACGUGUUUGCCCGAGAGCAGCAAACACUACCGUGUUUAUUUCAACGAGACGCACGGCUCUAAAUAUAAUUGGGAGAAGAAACGAGUCGCGAAGAUUUCCGGCCUGAACUGUCGGUCUCAACGUAGAAGAGACACGAUUCUGAUCUUUGAUCGUUAGCACCAAACGUAGAAGAGGACGGCGAAUGUAAAGAGAAAGGAAGUGCGAUCGAUCGAGCUACGCACGCGUCCGACGGAACCACUGCCGUACUUUACUCUGCACGAGACUAGGAUUUAUUCACUUCCUCUUUCCCGACCUCUGAAUCACAAUCGCUCGACAAAGGAAUUGAUACAUGCAACAAUCAGAAGACGUUUCCCAUUUCUUUCAUAGGAACGAACUCGCAGUUCCUUUACCGCUUUCUAUUAUCGAAUACGGUAGGACAACAAACAUAUUAUGACGGCACGCAGCAGACGGACAUAUCGUUUAUUGCUUCAAACGAUUAAAAAAUCCAAGUCAUGCAAUCAGUCAUGUCAAAAUCAAGCUGAUCGUUUGUCGCCCUGAGCUGUUCAAUCAUGAUCGAACAUCACUUACUGUUCCAAGAGAUAAUAGAAUUGUAAGAUACAUUAAAGGGCUCGAAGAGAAUGUUUAGAUUAAUACCAGUUAAUGCAAUUGCACUUUGAAACGAUGGCGGGAGGAAAAGUGUAACGAUAACAAGGUCGUAACAUGACAUACUCUCAAAUUAAUAUUGCUCGAAGAAUGCAGUAACAACAAUGACGUCACUGCAAACGCAAGUACUCUGUUAAAUGUGUAAUGUGUAUGUGCCGGACAAGCGAACCGAGCUACGAGCUUGACGAGAUAAAUAUGUAUACAUAUUUGAAUUCGUCAUCGCGUACUGCCGACUCUUGAUAUAUCCCGUCGCACAAAUGUUUCCAUCUCCUUCGGUCACCUGUUUUGAUUACGAUCAUUCAUCAAAAUCUAAUUCCCGGUUAUUGCAUUAUUCAAAAUUCGAUGAUGUGAAUUACUUAAUAUUUUCCUGCUGGCUACUUCGAAUAUUUCUGUUCCGAAUGCCAGGCACCCCAGUCGGUUGAUGAAAUAUAUCUAUCAAAUUAUUAGUCGAGUACAGAUAAGAUACAUGCUUAUCAGCAUUGAACACGAAUGGAAGGAUAAGAGGUGUGUCCGACGUUACAUAUUCCACCUAAUAUUUCACUUGAUACAGAGGCCUAUCGCCGGAUUAAGUAGGAUUUACGAUAUGUAAGAGACAUUAAUUUUGUAUUAAUCAGUUGUGUUUAUUUUUUCUGUUUGACACAUUGAAACGGGUAAACAAAAUUGCGAGCGUGUCACAGACGCUUAUGUACGUACGUUGCGUCAUUAUGACAAUAAUAUCUUCGUUCCGUGGCCGAUAAAAAUAUAUACGCGUUUUCACUUCGCGCGUCCAAUUGCAGUUCCGACAUAAAUCAUCAUCAAUCGAUUGACCCUUUCAUCACGAGCGCGGAACAAUAAUAAUUGUGGCCCUAUCUGUCGAACUACGAUAUCAUCCUCAUCUAUUAUCCGAUCUCAAAUUGUAUUUAGAGAAGAUACGAAAAAUGUCAGUCACGUAUAACUUACCAAAAGAAUUAGUUAGGAUAUGGAGGAAUAGGAAAAUCCAUUUCUGAGCUAACAGAGCGAAAUAAACUUCAUAUAUAUAUAUAUAUAUAUUAAAAACAAAUUAGUGGAAGACUACCAAUCACGUAUAAUAUAUGGCAUACCAAAAAAUUAGCGUAUGUUGAAAGAGUGCAUUUUUUCUGUCACCAUGAUUUACAUAAAAGUCUUACGAUUUCCUGUGGUAUUUUCGAGAUCAGCAAAGGAACGUCAAUGAGGGAAUUAAAUUUCGUUAAGCAAACAGCAUGGUGUAAUUAUGUACUAAGCUGUGAAUUUCGAACGACCGCGGAAACAAGCGAUAACGAGGUGGUAAAAUAUACUGGUAAUUAACAAAUUACCCGUACUUAAUAUAAGUAGUCAUAAUAGGUAUAGUAAUAGUAUACAAGUUGUUUGCGUAAGUUAUUUCACGUAUGCCCAUCUCGUGCAUCUUCUGUUAACACGUUUAUUACGUUAUUUACUACGAUAUUCGUAAGGGAUUGAAUAAAUAGUAAUUAUAAUCGUAGGAAAGAGUGAGAACAUGUUUAUAGCAAUUCGUACACGUGUCUCACUUAGGGGCAAAGGUAGAUUCGAAAUCUUGUAUACGAAAUCUGAUAACUACCGCGCGAUAGCAAUACUCAUCGAAAUUGAUAUCAAGAUCGUUCUAAAUGCAUAAGAGCAGUUCUCUUUACAUGAAUUCUUUUUACGGCGUCGUUAUCUUUAUCGCGGAGUGGAUUAAUAUAUGGUAAGACAAGAGCGUAAUAACAAUUUCGACAUGCAUUUUUCACGACUCUUGUUAUUGGGAGAACAAGAUACGAAGACCGAGGAGAAUAAAAACUUAAUUACCGAUAAACAGACGUCGAAAUGUUCUAUUUAUAUCCCGCCUGGUCGAUUGGGAGUUAAAAAUAGGCCGGUUGCAACGAACUGCGUUCCUUUCAACGAUAUCGAUUGUUUUCCUGGUGAAUGAGACUGCGGCCGAACGUUAAAGACUUCGUAGACCUAAUUACGACUCUAAAUAUAGCGAGGAAAGGUUCAAAGCGAUCGUGUAAGAAGAGCUCAGAAUGGAAAAACGGAAAUUGUCCGGCGGGCUUCGCCGAGGCCGGGUUUAAUUGUGGCGUGUCGUUUGGUUCUACGGCCUCUUCUUCAUUAAUUUAAUUGUCCGUUAUCAGCCGGAAUGUCGAUCGGCACGGCAUUUGUUCGGUUGCCGAGAGAGCUCGAAAUACAAACUGGAAUCUGGCGGUGGCCUACUAAUCUCCCAAGGGAGUUGAUUGCGCGGAACGCCGGGUAAGAGACGCGGGUUCUUGCAAAACGCCUCCGACAUUGUAAUCACGGAAUUACAACGCGAUUACUUCGUCCAUGUUCACUGACAUCACGGGAUAAAGUUCGAUUCUUAUUCCUCUCAAAUAUUUGAUCGAAAGAACAUAGGUGCUGUUGGAUACUCCAACAUCUGUACGACUCCUAACAAAGAAUUAAGCAACGGUCACCGAAGACCUCUACUUUUUUCGAGGACCUUUUGACAAAGGGUAUCCACCCCAUGGUUUUUUCCUUUCCGGACACUCUGUCUUUAGCUCUUGUAACUUUCAUGAAAUUUACUUCCUCUUUUUCAUAUACUUAUUUCUAUAGUUCAUAAGCACUAUUCAUUUAUGUUAAUAAGCUUAAAGUUAAUCUAGUGUUAAAGUAGAUUCAUUCCUUAACCAGUCCUACAGUUCACUUCGUAUAUCUUCUACUCCUGAGCAAUCUGAAUAAACUCUACAUCUACACACACAACUGGAAUCCUUAUUCGCGGGAACACAACAGUGCAUACAAAAGUUUCUGUAAAAUCUCAAGUAUUUCGUUCGAGUAAUACAUCAAUUACUUAUUUUCACAUAUUCUUAAAUGAUCGUUUCAUCAUCUUAAA
Molecule: long non-coding RNA, 4028 nt
Organism: Ceratina calcarata
Lineage: Eukaryota; Metazoa; Arthropoda; Insecta; Hymenoptera; Apidae
Exons: 3
Source: RefSeq, a predicted model, not a curated record